This 316-nucleotide long non-coding RNA is filed under the name Mus musculus (house mouse). RNAcentral describes it as "long non-coding RNA chr11:68327767-68328083". The record is from RNAcentral. Lineage: Eukaryota; Metazoa; Chordata; Mammalia; Rodentia; Muridae.
GCUGGACGUGGUGGUGCACGCCUUUAAUCCCAGCACUCGGGAGGCAGAGGCAGGCAGAUUUCUGAAUUCAAGGCCAGCCUGGUCUACAGAGGGAGUUCAGGACAGCCAGGGCUACACAGAGAAACCCUGUCUAGAAAAAUCAAAUAUAUAUAUACACAUACAUAUGUAUGUACUAAAAUGCUAGAUAGUAAGAAAAACUAAGAUACAGCAAGGGAGUUAAGUUAUUGAUAAAACAGCGUUUCUCUGUGCAGCCUUGGCUGUCCUGGAACUCACUCUGUAGACCAGGCUGGCCUUGAACUCAGAAAUCCGCCUGCCU